GACGAACCGUGCGAACGUUGUUCGGAAUCACUGGGCUUAAAGGGCGCGUAGGCGGGCUGCCAAGUCUGGGGUGAAAUCCUCCCGCUCAACGGGAGAACGGCCCCGGGUACUGGCGGCCUCGAGGCGGGUAGGGGCGUGCGGAACACUGGGUGGAGCGGUGAAAUGCGUUGAUAUCCAGUGGAACUCCGGUGGCGAAGGCGGCACGCUGGACCCGAUCUGACGCUGAGGCGCGAAAGCCAGGGGAGCGAACGGG
This 253-nucleotide ribosomal RNA is filed under the name uncultured bacterium. RNAcentral's name for it is "partial 16S ribosomal RNA". It matches the Rfam family "Bacterial small subunit ribosomal RNA", at positions 524 to 776 of the family's 1533-position model. The record is from RNAcentral.